This 250-nucleotide ribosomal RNA is filed under the name uncultured bacterium. RNAcentral's name for it is "partial 16S ribosomal RNA". It matches the Rfam family "Bacterial small subunit ribosomal RNA", at positions 76 to 339 of the family's 1533-position model. The record is from RNAcentral.
GCUAACAGGCGUCGAGUGGCGGACGGGUGAGUAACGCGUAGGAAUCUACCAAAUAGCGGGGGAUAGCCCGGAGAAAUCCGGAUUAAUACCGAAUAAUCUCUACGGAGGAAAGGGGGCUUCGGCUCUCGCUAUUGGAUGGGCCUGCGUCGGAUUAGCUAGUUGGUGAGGUAAAGGCCUACCAAGGCGACGAUCUUUAGCUGGUCUGAGAGGAUGAUCAGCCACACUGGGACUGAGACACGGCCCAGACUCC